CCUACGGGUGGCAGCAGUGAGGAAUAUUGGUCAAUGGGCGCGAGCCUGAACCAGCCAAGUCGCGUGAGGGAAGACGGUCCUAUGGAUUGUAAACCUCUUUUGUCGGGGAGCAAAAGACGCCACGCGUGGCGUUCCGAGAGUACCCUACGAACAAGCAUCGGCUAACUCCGUGCCAGCAGCCGCGGUAAUACGGAGGAUGCGAGCGUUAUCCGGAUUUAUUGGGUUUAAAGGGUGCGCAGGCGGAAGAUCAAGUCAGCGGUAAAAUUGAGAGGCUCAACCUCGUCGAGCCGUUGAAACUGGUGUUCUUGAGUGAGCGAGAAGUAUGCGGAAUGCGUGGUGUAGCGGUGAAAUGCAUAGAUAUCACGCAGAACUCCGAUUGCGAAGGCAGCAUACCGGCGCUCAACUGACGCUCAUACACGAAAGUGUGGGUAUCGAACAGGAUUAGAUACCCGUGUAGUC
RNAcentral lists this ribosomal RNA (459 nucleotides) under uncultured bacterium. Its description in RNAcentral is "partial 16S ribosomal RNA". It matches the Rfam family "Bacterial small subunit ribosomal RNA", at positions 338 to 795 of the family's 1533-position model. The record is from RNAcentral.